RNAcentral lists this ribosomal RNA (896 nucleotides) under Yersinia enterocolitica. RNAcentral describes it as "partial 23S ribosomal RNA". It matches the Rfam family "Bacterial large subunit ribosomal RNA", at positions 1292 to 2169 of the family's 2925-position model. Lineage: Bacteria; Pseudomonadati; Pseudomonadota; Gammaproteobacteria; Enterobacterales; Yersiniaceae. The record is from RNAcentral.
GAAUGCUGACAUAAGUAACGAUAAUGCGGGUGAAAAACCCGCACGCCGGAAGACCAAGGGUUCCUGUCCAACGUUAAUCGGGGCAGGGUGAGUCGACCCCUAAGGCGAGGCUGAAAAGCGUAGUCGAUGGGAAACAGGUUAAUAUUCCUGUACUUGGUGUUACUGCGAAGGGGGGACGGAGAAGGCUAGGCUAGCCGGGCGACGGUUGUCCCGGUUUAAGCAUGUAGGCGGAGUGACCAGGUAAAUCCGGUUGCUUAUCAACGCUGAGGUGUGAUGACGAGUCACUACGGUGAUGAAGUAGUUGAUGCCAUGCUUCCAGGAAAAGCCUCUAAGCAUCAGGUAACAUGAAAUCGUACCCCAAACCGACACAGGUGGUCAGGUAGAGAAUACUCAGGCGCUUGAGAGAACUCGGGUGAAGGAACUAGGCAAAAUGGUGCCGUAACUUCGGGAGAAGGCACGCUGGCAUUAGGUAAAGGGACUUGCUCCCGGCGCCGAAGCCAGUCGCAGAUACCAGCUGGCUGCAACUGUUUAAUAAAAACACAGCACUGUGCAAACACGAAAGUGGACGUAUACGGUGUGACGCCUGCCCGGUGCUGGAAGGUUAAUUGAUGGGGUCAGCCGCAAGGCGAAGCUCUUGAUCGAAGCCCCAGUAAACGGCGGCCGUAACUAUAACGGUCCUAAGGUAGCGAAAUUCCUUGUCGGGUAAGUUCCGACCUGCACGAAUGGCGUAAUGAUGGCCAGGCUGUCUCCACCCGAGACUCAGUGAAAUUGAACUCGCUGUGAAGAUGCAGUGUACCCGCGGCAAGACGGAAAGACCCCGUGAACCUUUACUAUAGCUUGACACUGAACAUUGAGCCUUGAUGUGUAGGAUAGGUGGGAGGCAUAGAAGUGUGGAC